RNAcentral lists this long non-coding RNA (672 nucleotides) under Equus caballus (horse). RNAcentral describes it as "lncRNA (ENSECAG00000044159.1)". The record is from RNAcentral. Lineage: Eukaryota; Metazoa; Chordata; Mammalia; Perissodactyla; Equidae.
CUGACUCACAACAUUCCAGAACAUUUAACGGUUGGCUCUCCUUGAGUGGUACAAGCCGGUUCCAGCACAGCACUGGGAUUAAAGGGCCCCAGAAACAAGUGAGGGGUGCUGAGCACUCUUGGGGCUGGGGCUGACCUCCUCUGGGAUCAAGACAGGUCUUGGGUACGGCCCGUGGCGCUGGGACAGGAGGAGGCACAGGUCCACCUUGAUGACAGGACAGCGGGUGACAACCUGCAGCUUCCAGGAGCCACAGCAGCAUCCACUGGUGCUCAAUCCUGCUGUGAAAGCUUCUCCCUGGGAACUGGCUGAGGAUGCUGGCGCAGGAUCUGCCAUCUGAUAGCUCAGCCCUCGCCAGGAGAAAACAAAACACAGUUUCUGAAGUCUGACCUGGUCCGGGAAAGCUUCCAGCCAAGGGCAGGAUGGGCCCAGGAUGCGUGGCUCUGCGUCCAAGGAGCCUGGUCUGCAGGCCUCCCUCCAGGCACCUGGACCUGUGCCUCCCUUUGCUUCUACGGAGCGUCGCUAAGACUAAGUCACGGAACCCACAGGCCUGUCUAGCACGCUGGCGUCCACAGGCUCCUUCUCCUGGUCUCAGUAGUAAGAGGUCGAAGAAAGGAUAAAACUAAAGUUUAAUCCACUAGAAGGUUUUCUGGAGAGAGAGAGAGGGAGAAAUGA